UGCUAUACUUUAAGCCCAGAAGAUCUAAGUUUAGUCCUCAACCCCAAUCUCAUUGGGCAUCUUUGGGCAAACCACUUUAUCUUGCAUCCGGACUGACCCAGAGUUGUGAUAAUAAAUGAGAUACUAAUAGCAAAGUCCUUUGUAGGCUUAGAACUGCUACAUGAAAUGCUAAAAUACUGCUGUCGGGAUGGGGCCUCGGGCUAAGCUAUGUGUGUGCCUGGAAGGUGAAAAAUAAAAUAAAAUGCUAAAAUAACUCAAAAUAAUCGUAGAAAACAAUCAUCUAAUGAGUGACACAUAAAACUAAUGAAUGAGACAUAAACUCCCACACAGAUAUCCCCAAAAUGAGACAUAUUCUCUUCCCUUCAUUGCAGAGUGCAUUUUGCAAAAUCAAUUCCAAAAAUUAGAUUGCAUCAUAUUAUGGCUCUGUAAUAAAUAGCUGUAUUGUAACAGGCGGUUUUUGCAAGUUGGAAUGCAGUCCUUCCAAGGGCUUCACAAAAACAUCAGGACCAGGAGGAAAGUUAUUAUCAAAUUCAUGAGGGCUUAACAGGGUUAGUUUGUGACAUCUCAUUCCCCAUUCAUUAAGUAGGUAUUGCUAUGCAGAUCUCAUUUAAAAUAUAUAUAUAUGGCUCCAAGAAGCAUGAAUUCAACUCUUUGGGCAUGAGCUCACUUUAGUUGCUUUGCCAUUUUGCCCCUCAUAGCAGCAUGCAAUCGCCUGCAACCUUCAUUCCCGUAAAUUUACAUAGAUAGAGGUAGAUCUUUAAUUUGCACCCCUCAUUCAUACCACAAGUGCAGAAUUCUGGUGUGCCUGAGGCACCACUAAGCAAUAAUUUGUCACUUGCUUGAAAAUCACUAACUAAAAACAGAACUCUGCUGCCUCCCAAAUCAUCUCCCAUUUCCCCCCGAGGUCCUCAGCCCUCACCUUGUUUGUGCAACAUUCUCUUGCUCUCUGUGUCAUUUAGCUGCAAUAAGAAAUCACCAUCCAGAAAGUGCUGACCUCCGUGUAUUGUCCAAAGUUUACCUAGAUGGGAUCGUGGACGUCGACGAUGAGGAGUUCCAAAACAUCUCAUCCAUCCUUUCCACUUUCAUCAUCCUUUUUCUCGUGAGCCUGUUCUACAGUGCCACUGUGACCGUCAUAAAGGUGAAAUAGCAGCGUGAAGGGUCUUCUGGCAACGGACAGUGACUUCUCUAUUCACCAGCAACAUACCGGUAAUAAAGGACUUGACUUCUUUGUCCACUUUUGGAGAAGAAGGAAGGAUGCAAGCCUUUCCAUCUUGCUUUGCAUCAUGAUCUCAGGAUACUCAUUGGCUUGAACUAGAUUUAGACCCACUGUUUACAUUUUAGAGCUAUGGUGCAAUCUUGCUUCACUUUUCUUAGUGUAUAUGUGUGUUUUCCAGCAUCUCUUUGGUAGUCAUGUUUUAUUUCAGCUAUAGUUGUAUACAUAGUUGCAUGUGAAUAUUGCACUUUUAACUUUCUUUUUUCUUUUUCUUUUUUUUUUUUGCACUUUUAACUUUCAACAGACAAGGAAUCAUUGCACAAUAUGUACCGACUAGAAUGUUUCUCAUUUACAUCAUGAUUGCUAUGUAAAACUGCAAUAAAGAUAUAUUCUUCACUGA
This is a long non-coding RNA of Podarcis raffonei (Aeolian wall lizard), 1613 nucleotides long. RefSeq lists it as uncharacterized. NCBI's taxonomy places the organism in Eukaryota, Metazoa, Chordata, Lepidosauria, Squamata, Lacertidae. The transcript is spliced from 2 exons. The record is from RefSeq and is a predicted model, not a curated record.